CUUCCAGGAGAUGUUCAUUGGUUAAGACCUCACCUUAAGCUCACCACAGGAGGACAUAAGCCUUUGUUGGAUUUUCUCGAGGGGGAUGUGACUGAUGGAGCUUGAUGGCUGCCUGAAAAAUUGGUCUGUCAGAUGGACACAGGUCCUGAGUCUUCUAAUUGGUUGCCUACACACAGGAACACCUUCAGCAAAGCUCAGUUAUUCACCAUUGCGGUUAUUCAUUGAUAUGAAGAAAUGCAUCUAAUAUGUCCUUCGGGGAUUUGGGCUGAAUGGGAAAAAGGUGUGCUAAUGAAGGCUGGUAGCCAGAAACUGGGAUUCCUAAGCUCCUAUCAUCCUAAGACAGAGGCGGCACCAAAAGGCUGUGUUUGUUCAUAACAAACGCUAAAAGGCCGUGUUUGUUCAAAUAAACACAAACAAGCUGCGCAUGUUCUCAAAGACGGGUAAGAAGGAGUGAUAUAGACUCAGACCUAAGCCAGGCAACAACAGUUUAUCUAUAAAAAAUUAAAAGGGAGAAACUGUACCCUUUCCUGAGCCUUGAAUUGGCUAGACAACUCUUCCUGCCUGAGACUUGAACUACUGCCUGCCUGCUGAGCUGCUGAAGAGCUUACUUUGCAACUCAAUCCAGCUGAAACAAAGGGAUGGGUUUUUGGGUUUUGCCUAUAUAAAAGCAGAGCUGAAAAAUUAAAAUUUGAGCCAUGAUUAGAGAAA
This is a long non-coding RNA of Mus musculus (house mouse), 708 nucleotides long. RefSeq annotates it as predicted gene, 53540. The transcript has 3 exons. The record is from RefSeq and is a predicted model, not a curated record. NCBI's taxonomy places the organism in Eukaryota, Metazoa, Chordata, Mammalia, Rodentia, Muridae.